AGUGGCGGACGGGUGAGUAAUGUCUGGGAAACUGCCUGAUGGAGGGGGAUAACUACUGGAAACGGUAGCUAAUACCGCAUAACGUCGCAAGACCAAAGAGGGGGACCUUCGGGCCUCUUGCCAUCGGAUGUGCCCAGAUGGGAUUAGCUUGUUGGUGGGGUAACGGCUCACCAAGGCGACGAUCCCUAGCUGGUCUGAGAGGAUGACCAGCCACACUGGAACUGAGACACGGUCCAGACUCCUACGGGAGGCAGCAUG
RNAcentral lists this ribosomal RNA (258 nucleotides) under uncultured bacterium. RNAcentral describes it as "partial 16S ribosomal RNA". It matches the Rfam family "Bacterial small subunit ribosomal RNA", at positions 94 to 353 of the family's 1533-position model. The record is from RNAcentral.